This 253-nucleotide ribosomal RNA is filed under the name uncultured bacterium. RNAcentral's name for it is "partial 16S ribosomal RNA". It matches the Rfam family "Bacterial small subunit ribosomal RNA", at positions 524 to 776 of the family's 1533-position model. The record is from RNAcentral.
UACGAAGGGUGCUAGCGUUGCUCGGAAUCACUGGGCGUAAAGGGUGCGUAGGCGGGCCUUUAAGUCAGGGGUGAAAUCCUGGAGCUCAACUCCAGAACUGCCUUUGAUACUGAGGAUCUUGAGUUCGGGAGAGGUGAGUGGAACUGCGAGUGUAGAGGUGAAAUUCGUAGAUAUUCGCAAGAACACCAGUGGCGAAGGCGGCUCACUGGCCCGAUACUGACGCUGAGGCACGAAAGCGUGGGGAGCAAACAGG